Molecule: long non-coding RNA, 1584 nt
Organism: Acanthochromis polyacanthus (spiny chromis)
Lineage: Eukaryota; Metazoa; Chordata; Actinopteri; Pomacentridae
Exons: 3
Source: RefSeq, a predicted model, not a curated record
UUGGAGCAUGCAGAGGAGAGUUAUACAGCAGUUGAUGUUUCUAGGCGAAGCAUCAAAACUCUAAUGGUCGCCAUGGCCACACCAUUUGGCUUCUGGUUAAACUUUUGAUAACUUUUCCAAACCAAGUCCUGCUGUGUGGACUGACAAAAUUUCAGGUCUCCUGGAAUUAUCCCCUAGGAGGUAUUAACUCUCAAAAAAGAGAAAAAUCAUCAAAAAUCUCACAAUUAAUCCAAGAUGGCCGACUUCCUGUUGGGUUUAGGACAUGGCUCCAAGAGGCUUUUUUGUGCGUCCUGAUGUGCUCUAUAAGCCUCCCAAAUUUCAUGGAUGUAGGUGAAACGUGCUGGGGGGGCUGUUUGUUAAAAAUACUGUAGGGGGCGCUAUAGCAUGUGCAGUGCCGAGAUGCAUACAGUGUUGUUCCUUGGGUCAAUGGUGAUGUGUGUGGUAAUUUUUGUGAGCAUUGGAGUAUUUCUAACCUGUCAAACAGCACUUUGUUUUGCAUGGCGAUAUUUGGUUGCUACGGUAACAGCGUUGCAUGAAAUGUCACACCCUUCACAGUGUGUGAUUGUCAAGAGGUGAAGACUCGACUGACCAAUUUCCAGCAUGAUAUCACCAAGUUUGGGGCCAUUGUACCUGAAAAUAUAAGGCCUUAAACUUACUAUUACCAACAGGUGGCGCUAUGACUUUUUCAAAAUUUAUGAGUGUGGAUGUGUUCAGACUGGACCUGGUAUCCAGCAUGUGAAGUCUGAGGCAGAUAGGAUGUUGUUCAGCUGAGAUAUGAAUCGUUAAAUUUUCAUGGCGAAACAUCGAAAUUGGUUUGGCCGCCACAGACACGCCCUUUGAUGACAAGUCACCAUUUUCACUGGGAUGCAUCAUCAAUGUGUUUAGGCUGUUGUCACUGCAUUUGAAGUGAAUAUGAUCAACCGGGUAACAAUAGGGCAUGAAAGUGUAAAAGAUGUCUAUUUCCUGAAACCACAAGGUGGCGCUAUGACUGUCAAUGAAUAUCCCUAUGUGGAUGACAUCAGGACAGGACUGUCAUCAUACAUGUAAAGUUUCAGGCAGAUUGGAGCAUGUUGAGAAGAAUUAGACACCACUUCCUGUUUCAUGGCGAAGGAUCAGUUGUUUGAGGCUCCGCCAUGGCCACACCUUUUGGCUUCUGGUUGAGUUUUUGAUAACUUUUCAUCAGAAAGGUCUGGUGAAUGUACUGGCCAAAUUUCAGUUCUCUCAGACUUAUCCACUAGGAGCUAUAAAUUUUGACAAAUGUACAGCAAAUUCAAGAUGGCCGACUUCCUGUUGGGUUUAGGGUGUGGCUGUGAUUGACUUUUUGGUGUGUCCUGAUGUGGUGCAUAUGCCCACCAAAUAUUGUAGCUGUAAAUAAAACAUUGUGGAAGUUGGCCUAAUGACCACUUUUUCAAUUUUGCAGGUGGCGCUAUAGAGCCAUUUUUUCACACAUAUGCGCAACUCCCAUAAAAUAUCAAAUUUUUCGCCAGUCCUGAUGUGCACGCCAAAUUUCACGCGUUUUGGUUCAUGAUAAGGCCGCCAAAAAGGCAAGUCAUUUCCCGAGGAGCGAUUAAGUUUGAAAAAUUU